UGGGACAUUGGAAGAGGAGAGCAGGUGGC
Molecule: non-coding RNA, 29 nt
Filed under: Homo sapiens (human)
Lineage: Eukaryota; Metazoa; Chordata; Mammalia; Primates; Hominidae
Source: RNAcentral